Molecule: ribosomal RNA, 121 nt
Filed under: Carlito syrichta (Philippine tarsier)
Lineage: Eukaryota; Metazoa; Chordata; Mammalia; Primates; Tarsiidae
Source: RNAcentral
GUCUAGGGCCAUAUCACCUUGAAGGUGUCUGAUCUUGCCUGAUGUCAGAAGCUAAUCAGGGUCAGACCUGGUUAGUUACUUGGUGUGGGAGACCACUUGGUAAUAUUGGGUACUGUCGGCU